AUAACAGGUCAUUUUACAGUUCAUUUUGUUGUCAUCUUCCCACUCAACAUUUAAAUCGGUGGAUUUCUAAGAAAAAUUAAGAGACAAGAAUUUGGAUUUAAACAACUAUUAAAGGCUUGAAGUGCUGGGUGUAAAAGAGGGGUGAAAGAUACAAGUCAAAUUCAUAGAUAGAAAAUAAGCUGACUGCGCCAUGGCUAAAAAAGUAAAAGACAAACAGACAAAUAAUAGAACACAAUACACAACAUAGAAAACUAAAGACUAAGCAACACAAACCCCACCAAAAACUGCGGGUGAUCUCAGAUGCUCCUGAAGUGUAAGCAGAUCCUACUUCACAUGUGGCACCCGUUGUGUAGCUCAUGUUAUUACAAACCUGGUAAAUAGUCUAGUUUGGUGUAAAUUGCAUGAUUGAAACAAUAUUUGUACAUAGUGUAGAAAUGCUUUUUUA
This 445-nucleotide long non-coding RNA is filed under the name Mytilus galloprovincialis (Mediterranean mussel). The record is from RNAcentral. Lineage: Eukaryota; Metazoa; Mollusca; Bivalvia; Mytilida; Mytilidae.